Molecule: ribosomal RNA, 484 nt
Filed under: uncultured bacterium
Lineage: Bacteria
Description: partial 16S ribosomal RNA
Rfam family: Bacterial small subunit ribosomal RNA
Source: RNAcentral
AUUGAACGCUGGCGGCAUGCUUUACACAUGCAAGUCGAACGGCAGCGCGGGCUUCGGCCUGGCGGCGAGUGGCGAACGGGUGAGUAAUGCAUCGGAACGUGCCCAGGAGUGGGGGAUAGCCCGGCGAAAGCCGGAUUAAUACCGCAUACGACCUGAGGGUGAAAGCGGGGGACCGAAAGGCCUCGCGCUAUUUGAGCGGCCGAUGUCGGAUUAGCUAGUUGGUGGGGUAAAGGCUUACCAAGGCGACGAUCCGUAGCUGGUCUGAGAGGACGACCAGCCACACUGGGACUGAGACACGGCCCAGACUCCUACGGGAGGCAGCAGUGGGGAAUUUUGGACAAUGGGGGCAACCCUGAUCCAGCCAUGCCGCGUGCGGGAAGAAGGCCUUCGGGUUGUAAACCGCUUUUGUUCGGGAAGAAAUCCUCUGGGCUAAUACCCCGGGGGGAUGACGGUACCGGAAGAAUAAGCACCGGCUAACUACGUG